This 1757-nucleotide ribosomal RNA is filed under the name Listeria monocytogenes. RNAcentral describes it as "partial 23S ribosomal RNA". It matches the Rfam family "Bacterial large subunit ribosomal RNA", at positions 1171 to 2925 of the family's 2925-position model. The record is from RNAcentral. Lineage: Bacteria; Bacillati; Bacillota; Bacilli; Caryophanales; Listeriaceae.
UGUACCGGGGCUAAACAUAUUACCGAAACUGUGGAUGAACCUCUUUAGAGGUUCGUGGUAGGAGAGCGUUCUAAGGGCGGUGAAGUCAGACCGGAAGGACUGGUGGAGCGCUUAGAAGUGAGAAUGCCGGUAUGAGUAGCGAAAGAAGGGUGAGAAUCCCUUCCACCGAAUAUCUAAGGUUUCCUGAGGAAGGCUCGUCCGCUCAGGGUUAGUCGGGACCUAAGCCGAGGCCGAUAGGCGUAGGCGAUGGACAACAGGUAGAGAUUCCUGUACCAGUGCUAAUUGUUUAACCGAUGGGGUGACACAGAAGGAUAGGGAAUCGCACGAAUGGAAAUGUGCGUCCAAGCAGUGAGUGUGAGAAGUAGGCAAAUCCGCUUCUCGCGAAGCAUGAGCUGUGAUGGGGAAGGAAAUUAAGUACGGAAGUUCCUGAUUUCACGCUGUCAAGAAAAGCCUCUAGGAAGAGUAGUACUGCCCGUACCGCAAACCGACACAGGUAGAUGAGGAGAGAAUCCUAAGGUGAGCGAGAGAACUCUCGUUAAGGAACUCGGCAAAAUGACCCCGUAACUUCGGGAGAAGGGGUGCUCUAUUAGGGUGCAAGCCCGAGAGAGCCGCAGUGAAUAGGCCCAGGCGACUGUUUAGCAAAAACACAGGUCUCUGCAAAACCGUAAGGUGACGUAUAGGGGCUGACGCCUGCCCGGUGCUGGAAGGUUAAGAGGAGUGCUUAGCUUCGGCGAAGGUACGAAUUGAAGCCCCAGUAAACGGCGGCCGUAACUAUAACGGUCCUAAGGUAGCGAAAUUCCUUGUCGGGUAAGUUCCGACCCGCACGAAAGGCGCAACGAUCUGGGCACUGUCUCAACGAGAGACUCGGUGAAAUUAUAGUACCUGUGAAGAUGCAGGUUACCCGCGACAGGACGGAAAGACCCCGUGGAGCUUUACUGCAACCUGAUAUGGAAUGUUUGUACCGCUUGUACAGGAUAGGUAGGAGCCGAAGAGACGUGUGCGCUAGCAUACGAGGAGGCAAUGGUGGGAUACUACCCUGGCUGUAUGACCAUUCUAACCCGCCACGCUUAGCGCGUGGGGAGACAGUGUCAGGUGGGCAGUUUGACUGGGGCGGUCGCCUCCUAAAGAGUAACGGAGGCGCCCAAAGGUUCCCUCAGAAUGGAUGGAAAUCAUUCGCAGAGUGUAAAGGCACAAGGGAGCUUGACUGCGAGACUGACAAGUCGAGCAGGGACGAAAGUCGGGCUUAGUGAUCCGGUGGUUCCGCAUGGAAGGGCCAUCGCUCAACGGAUAAAAGCUACCCCGGGGAUAACAGGCUUAUCUCCCCCAAGAGUCCACAUCGACGGGGAGGUUUGGCACCUCGAUGUCGGCUCGUCGCAUCCUGGGGCUGUAGUCGGUCCCAAGGGUUGGGCUGUUCGCCCAUUAAAGCGGCACGCGAGCUGGGUUCAGAACGUCGUGAGACAGUUCGGUCCCUAUCCGUCGCGGGCGCAGGAAAUUUGAGAGGAGCUGUCCUUAGUACGAGAGGACCGGGAUGGACACACCGCUGGUGUACCAGUUGUUCCGCCAGGAGCAUCGCUGGGUAGCUAUGUGUGGCAGGGAUAAACGCUGAAAGCAUCUAAGCGUGAAGCCCCCCUCAAGAUGAGAUUUCCCAUUUCUUCGGAAAGUAAGAUCCCUGAAAGAUGAUCAGGUAGAUAGGUUUGGAGUGGAAGUGUAGCGAUACAUGGAGCGGACAAAUACUAAUCGAUCGAGGACUUAACCAA